Long non-coding RNA from Dreissena polymorpha, 494 nucleotides. RefSeq lists it as uncharacterized. Lineage: Eukaryota; Metazoa; Mollusca; Bivalvia; Myida; Dreissenidae. The record is from RefSeq and is a predicted model, not a curated record. The transcript has 4 exons.
AUGCAAUCUCUGCCAUCACAAGAAAAAUUACCAGAUUUGGUCAUAAUGAGAUGCGUUGCCAUGCUCGCUAUUGCCGCCGUGGUUCUGGCGUGCGCCCUUCAAGCUGAGGCCCAGUGGGGCGGGGGCGUACCAAAACCUAGGAGGAUCGGCCGCCCGUUGAACGGCCGGCUCCGCCCCCUGUUGAACGGCCGGCUCCGCCCCCUGCCUCCGAUGUCUCCCGUUAUCUAUCCCGCACCGUAUCCAGUGAACCCCGCCGGAGAGGAUGUCGAUUCCGAUGCGCUAGGCCUCUUCAUUUCCUUUCUUCUGAAAGACCACCCACUGGGCCUUGUCUUUGAUCUUCUUAGAGUCUACGGAAUAUUGUAAUUACUUAUCACGUACAUAGACCGAAGAUGUGAGGAGUUUAUCACUAUUAUUUAUACCAUGAAGCCGCGGUACACGGCCCCAACUUCUGCUGCCGCUUUGCUAAUGCUGUUGUUCUGUUUUAUUAAAUAAAA